CCUACGGGUGGCAGCAGUGAGGAAUAUUGGUCAAUGGGCGUAAGCCUGAACCAGCCAAGUCGCGUGAGGGAUGAAGGUUCUAUGGAUCGUAAACCUCUUUUAUAAGGGAAUAAAGUGUGGGACGUGUCCUAUUUUGUCUGUACCUUAUGAAUAAGGAUCGGCUAACUCCGUGCCAGCAGCCGCGGUAAUACGGAGGAUCCGAGCGUUAUCUGGAUUUAUUGGGUUUAAGGGGUGCGUAGGCGGCGUUUUAAGUCAGCGGUGAAAGUCUGUGGCUCAACCAUAGAAUUGCCGUUGAAACUGGGGGGCUUGAGUAUGUUUGAGGCAGGCGGAAUGCGUGGUGUAGCGGUGAAAUGCUUAGAUAUCACGCAGAACACCAGUGGCGAAGGCAGCCUGCCAAGCCAUGACUGACGCUGAGGCACGAAAGCGUGGGGAUCAAACAGGAUUAGAUACCCGAGUAGUC
Molecule: ribosomal RNA, 460 nt
Filed under: uncultured bacterium
Lineage: Bacteria
Description: partial 16S ribosomal RNA
Rfam family: Bacterial small subunit ribosomal RNA
Source: RNAcentral